GAGUUUGAUCGUGGCUCAGAUUGAACGCUGGCGGCGUGCCUAACACAUGCAAGUCGAGCGGUAACAGGCGUAGCAAUACGUGCUGACGAGCGGCGAACGGGUGAGCAAUGCUUCGGAAUCUGCCCAAUGAUGGGGAAUAACCAGUCGAAAGAUUGGCUAAUACCGCAUACGCCCUUCGGGGAAAGCGGGGGAUCGCAAGACCUCGCGUCGAUGGAUGAGCCGAAGUCGGAUUAGGCUAGUUGGUAGGGUAACGGCCUACCAAGGCGACGAUCCGUAGCUGGUCUGAGAGGACGACCAGCCACACUGGGACUGA
This 313-nucleotide ribosomal RNA is filed under the name uncultured beta proteobacterium. RNAcentral's name for it is "bacterial SSU rRNA". It matches the Rfam family "Bacterial small subunit ribosomal RNA", at positions 9 to 322 of the family's 1533-position model. Lineage: Bacteria; Pseudomonadati; Pseudomonadota; Betaproteobacteria. The record is from RNAcentral.